Molecule: ribosomal RNA, 301 nt
Filed under: uncultured bacterium
Lineage: Bacteria
Description: partial 16S ribosomal RNA
Rfam family: Bacterial small subunit ribosomal RNA
Source: RNAcentral
CAGUCGCCGCGGUAAGACGGAGGGUGCUAGCGUUGUUCGGAAUCACUGGGCGUAAAGGGCGCGUAGGCGGCCUGUUAAGUCGGAUGUGAAAGCCCGGGGCUCAACCCCGGAACUGCAUCCGAGACUGGCAGGCUUGAGACCGGGAGAGGAGGGUGGAAUAUCCAGUGUAGAGGUGAAAUUCGUAGAUAUUGGAUGGAACACCGGUGGCGAAAGCGGCUCUCUGGCCCGGAUCUGACGCUGAGGCGCGAAAGCGUGGGGAGCAAACAGGAUUAGAUACCCCCGUAGUCCCUGUCUCUUAUAC